GACGAACGCUGGCGGCGUGCCUAAUACAUGCAAGUUGAGCGCUGAAGGUUGGUACUUGUACCAACUGGAUGAGCAGCGAACGGGUGAGUAACGCGUGGGGAAUCUGCCUUCGAGCGGGGGACAACAUUUGGAAACGAAUGCUAAUACCGCAUAAAAACUUUAAACACAAGUUUUAAGUUUGAAAGAUGCAAUUGCAUCACUCAAAGAUGAUCCCGCGUUGUAUUAGCUAGUUGGUGAGGUAAAGGCUCACCAAGGCGAUGAUACAUAGCCGACCUGAGAGGGUGAUCGGCCACAUUGGGACUGAGACACGGCCCAAACUCCUACGGGAGGCAGCAGUAGGGAAUCUUCGGCAAUGGACGAAAGUCUGACCGAGCAACGCCGCGUGAGUGAAGAAGGUUUUCGGAUCGUAAAACUCGGUUGGUAGAGAAGAACGUUGGUGAGAGUGGAAAGCUCAUCAAGUGACGGUAACUACCCAGAAAGGGACGGCUAACUACGUG
This 497-nucleotide ribosomal RNA is filed under the name uncultured bacterium. Its description in RNAcentral is "partial 16S ribosomal RNA". It matches the Rfam family "Bacterial small subunit ribosomal RNA", at positions 28 to 507 of the family's 1533-position model. The record is from RNAcentral.